GGGUUGUGAGGUUAAGCGACUAAGCGUACACGGUGGAUGCCCUGGCAGUCAGAGGCGAUGAAGGACGUGCUAAUCUGCGAUAAGCGCCGGUAAGGUGAGAUGAACCGUUAUAACCGGCGAUUUCCGAAUGGGGAAACCCAGUGUGA
Molecule: ribosomal RNA, 146 nt
Filed under: Salmonella enterica subsp. enterica serovar Cerro
Lineage: Bacteria; Pseudomonadati; Pseudomonadota; Gammaproteobacteria; Enterobacterales; Enterobacteriaceae
Description: partial 23S ribosomal RNA
Rfam family: Bacterial large subunit ribosomal RNA
Source: RNAcentral